CAUUUCAUUGACAAGUCCUGCGGCGCAGCCAGUGUCAGGGGAGGUGAUGUGCUUGGGGCAGGCAGGAGCAGACUGCUUGUGAAGAGCCCUAGGAACUGCCGCAUGCAGCUAAAGAUUCAUUCUCAGGCAAUAGGAAACUAUUGGAGUAUCUCAGGCAGUGAUAGGCGUGAUUUGGUUCAGGUUUUCACAAGAUACUCAGCAUGCGGAGUGGCGGCUACGGGGAAAAUAUGACGGUGGUGGAGGCCAGGAGGCAGGGAGGCUGCUGGAAGUGAAAGGACUCAAGAUGGUGAGCACAGAAGUCAGAGGAUAUGGUCAAUCUACUCAACCAGAGAACAGAACAAUGACAGUGCUGGAGGGAAAUGCAUACUGGGGAAAGGCGACCUAAAUAAUUUUGACAGCUGGUUGAAAAUGUGGAGAUCCAGAAUAUCCAAGGUUUUAACUCUUUCAAAAGGAAGAGUUGGAGCAAGAAAGAGUGACUCAGACCGGAAACCUUGCCAGUGGGGUGAGAUGUGUGGGGUCUGUGCCUUGUACACUAAUGCAAGUGCAGCAGUCAGCUCAGAGCGCAGCCAUUAAGGACUAUGAUGUGUGUUGGGCACUGUGCGACCCUAAAGGUGUCAUUUAUGUUGGCAAUUGUGUUAGUGGUGCUCCUACUCUAUACUCCGAAGAACCAUUCACAGUGGCCUACACCUAGAGACAGUGUGUUCUGGAUCAGACUGACACUCAAGCUGUCCUGAUUUUAUAAGCAGAACUGGGAGCUGGAAUAACCCAAGUCAGUGUUUUCUAAGAUAUAGUUUAUGGAUGAUUCAUAGUUAUUCUUUUGGACUGUAUGUUCUUGGAGGGCAGGACUUGUUUGUUUUGUCCUCUAUCGUUUCCCCUGUGAAAGCUGGAUGUUUGGCACAUAAUAAGAAAUCAAUAAUUACGUUUUGAGAUAAUGAGCUAAGUGCUAUCAAAUAGGUUUGAGAAACGUUACCUUAAACAAGCUUCCUAGUCCAGGACUCCUUAUGGACUUUGAUACACAAAUGUAAGGAGUGAAUCUGUGAGAAGAGGAAUACAGGAGACAAUGUUCUCUAACCUAGCUCAACACCUUAGUCACUGAGUGCUCACAGGCAUGUUGUUAAUCUACUGGGUCCAUCAUGGAAAUGUAUUUCUUGUUGAUCAUGGUCAAGAAAACUUAAAAUUCCCAUUUGUGGAAAGAAAGUCCAUGAGUUUUUGUUGCUGAAUUUCUAGAGCUUCCUUGUCUCUUGCUCUUUGGACACCUGGCUAUUUGACCCCUACUUCAUUCUGUAAGCUCUCUAGUAUCCUUUCACUGUACCCCCCUGUCUUGCUUCAAUUAAUCUUACUUUGUUGCAACUGUGUCGAUUACACUUCUCCAUGUAAGUGAUUCCAUGCUUCUAUCUGGUCCUCCAUUUGUCAGGAAUCUUUUAACUGCUGGUCACAGAAACCACUCAAACCAGCUUGGGUACAAAAAGACAAUUUACUGGUUUUGUAAUUAAAAAGUCUGUCAUUUCCUGAAGCUAAAUCAUCACAUUUCUGGUUCUUGUUUCAUCUCUCUGACAUCUAUCUUCGCAUGGAA
Molecule: long non-coding RNA, 1573 nt
Filed under: Vulpes vulpes (red fox)
Lineage: Eukaryota; Metazoa; Chordata; Mammalia; Carnivora; Canidae
Description: lncRNA (ENSVVUG00000025309.1)
Source: RNAcentral